GACGAACGCUGGCGGCGUGCUUAACGCAUGCAAGUCGAACGGAAAGGCCCUGCUUUUGUGCGGUGCUCGAGUGGCGAACAGGUGAGUAUAACGUGAGUAACCUGCCCUUGACUUUGGGAUAACUUCAGGAAACUGGGGCUCAUACCGGAUAGGAGCUCCUGAUACAUGGUGGGGGUUGGAAAAAUUCGUCGUUUGGGGAUGUAUGCGUGGCUUAUCGGCUUGUUGGUGGGGUAGUGGCUUACCAAGGCUUGGACGGGUAGCCGGCCUGCGAGGGUGACCGGCCACAUUGGGACUGAGGAACGGCCCAUACGGCAACGUGAGGCAGCAGUGGGAAAUAGUGCAAAAUGGGCGGAGGCCGGAUGCAGCAACGCCGGGUGGGGGAUGACUGUCUGCGGGGUGUAAACCGCUUUCGCCUGUGACGAAGCGUGAGUGACGGUAACGAGUAAAGAAGCACCGGCUAACUACGUG
RNAcentral lists this ribosomal RNA (468 nucleotides) under uncultured bacterium. RNAcentral describes it as "partial 16S ribosomal RNA". It matches the Rfam family "Bacterial small subunit ribosomal RNA", at positions 28 to 507 of the family's 1533-position model. The record is from RNAcentral.